Non-coding RNA from Lactuca sativa (garden lettuce), 2372 nucleotides. The record is from RefSeq and is a predicted model, not a curated record. Lineage: Eukaryota; Viridiplantae; Streptophyta; Magnoliopsida; Asterales; Asteraceae.
AAUACCUAUACUCCAUCUGUUUCUUUACGACGAUUCUUCCUUCUCUCCGACAGUUACGUUCUAGUUUCGUAACCCAAUUAAGUUGUCAUUGUCCUCUCUUUGGUUGUUACUUCACCAGAGAUGAGAGAGAGAGAGAGAGUAAAGAGAUGGAAAGAAACAGCGGAAAGAUAACAAGAGAUACCAAAGUAAAAAGAUUAGAGACUAAGGUUGGAGGCUGUGAUUUCAACCACGUGAAAAGCUGAGAAGAAAAGAAAUAGAGGAGGCUCCGACGGAUAUGCAUGAGUUGACGUGACUUGGGGCAGGUUGUGAUCGAUUUUAUCGGAAUUAUAGGAUCUGGAUAGCAAUUUCAGGUCAAUAUAUAUGAUGAUGAAAAUAGGAUUCUGAUGGGAGUGUCGUGACUAGCUUGUUGGCUCAUGGUUCAUGGGUUCGGGUCUAAGAGAUUGGAAGCAAGAAGCCUCCAUUCGUUUGAUCAUAUGCAAGUGAUCGACAUGUGAACGAGCAUACAUGAAAAAAAUGGAAACGCAAUGAGUCUUUUGAUGUCGUCACGCUACAACAAUAAACCUCUAUAGAGACGAGGUCUACAGGGAUGACAUAUGUCGUCUCCAUAUAGUUGACAAGUUUUUUUUGACUUUUGGAGCUACAGCGGUUUCACCAUGUUAAAGCGGGAAGGAAACUGGAUUAGGCGCGUUUUGGGGAAGGUUAUAGGGACUUGUCAUCCCCAUAUCUUUCUACGACUUAAAUUAGGAGAACAACCUCCUUUGUUUCGAUCACGCACACUCAAUCAUUAGUCUCUAUCUGUCUUUCUUACUCUCGACCGGAGAUUCUCCCUUCCCUAAUUUCGACCAAUAUCUUCUCCACCGGCGACUUCCUCACCUCUCACUCCCCGUGCAUCUUCUUCCUCUCUCCAUGGAUUCUCAUGCUAGUUACCACCAUUAGGCUAAUCAAUGUCGAUUAGUUUCAAUGCCGUCGAUUCUGAAUAUCGGCUUCCUUUUCACAUCCAGUUACGAUUACUAUUGAAUACAAGCCCUACACCGGCUACCAGGAUUGGAGAUGCAAUGGCAAAGGUUAUUUGGCUUAUCACAAUUUUAUUACCAGGCUGGACAAUCGAAUGAAGUUGCAGCCACCUAGCCACCUGAGUAGUCCUGGAACCAGAAAAAGAUGGUCGUAUCAUUAUGGGGAGGGUUGACUGCACUGAAGAAGUUGACCUGUGUAGAAGUGGCACCUUCAUUGCAAAUGGUUGAGGUUCGAAAAGCAGGUGGAGAUACAUUAGAAUUUCACAAGUUUUACAAGAACUUUUGAUGCAGACAAUGGAAGAAUUGGUUGCACCUAUUGCAAUGGAUUCACAUCUGGCCUUGGAGGGUAAAUCUGGAAAAACUGAAGAAAAUGCAAAAAGGCCUGCACCAUCAGAAGUCGGAUGUAGAAUCGAGUCAAGAAUAUUUUGACUUCACAUUACAUCAUCUUCACUGGAUAAAACUGUGAGAGUGUGGGAUAUACCAAAAGGCCUUUGCAUUCGAGUCAUUUACGGAGUUGCCCCUCAGCUAUGUAUCCGAUUUCAUCCUGUGAAUAAUAACUUCCUUUCGGUUGGAAAUGCAAACAUAGAAAUUUUGGUAUUCAAUUUUAACAUAGGAAGAUUAACAGAUGAAAUAGUUGUAGACAGCAAGGUCAAUUUAUUUUUUGUAUUUGAGAAAACUGGAAAAGUAAACCAAAAAUAGAAGUUGAAUGGAAUUUAUAUACAAUAUCUAUAGAGACGGCAUUUUAUUGCUAUAGGUCUAGUUAUGAGGACGACAUGUCGUCUCUAUAGGUCUAGUUAUGGGGGCGACGUGUCGUCUCUAUAGGUCCAACAAUGGGAUGACAACCCCGAACCAACAAAAACGAUAUGUCGUCUCUAAAAAGUAUCUAUGGCGACGAUAUAUAUAGCGACGGCCCAAGCUAUCUAUUGCGACGGGGCUAUAGCGACAAAGACUAUAGGGACGACUUGUCGUCACAACUACCUAUGGAGACGACUUUCUAUAACCUAUAGAGAUGACAUUUGUCGUCCCUAUAGGUCUCGUUUCUUGUAGUGGAUCACAUGUGUACGUGUUUGUAGUAUAUAUGGAUAUGGUUUUCUUGGGUUAAGUAUAACGUUGAAAUGGGAACCAAACUGACGUUUUUUUUACUGAAGCAUGAGUAGUUACUGUCAAAUGAGGUACCUUCCAUAACUUGUCUUAGUAGUCUAACGGUAAAGGCAUGUAUAUGUGGCUAUAAUAUAUCAGGGUGUUUUCAUUAGACGUGCAUCAGUACAACCAGUAUGUGAAGGUAGUAAUUUAUACGUAGUCAUUUACGUCAAAGUAAUAAACUGAAUUGUACAAAAUGAAGAAGUAAAUAAUAAUAAU